Molecule: ribosomal RNA, 1214 nt
Filed under: uncultured prokaryote
Description: partial 16S ribosomal RNA
Rfam family: Bacterial small subunit ribosomal RNA
Source: RNAcentral
UACGGAACAACAGUUGGAAACGACUGCUAAUACCGUAUACGCCCUUACUACUUGUAGCCUCGCACCGAUAGAUGAGCCUGCGUUAGAUUAGCUAGUUGGUGAGGUAAUGGCUCACCAAGGCGACGAUCUAUAGCUGGUCUGAGAGGAUGAUCAGCCACACUGGGACUGAGACACGUCCCAGACUCCUACGGGAGGCAGCAGUGGGGAAUAUUGGACAAUGGGCGGAAGCCUGAUCCAGCAAUACCGCGUGUAUGAAGAAGGCUCUAGGGUCGUAAAGUACUUUCAGAGGGGAGGAACGGUUGUAGUUUUAGUAAAGAAGUCCCGGCUAACUCCGUGCCAGUAGCCGCGGUAAUACGGAGGGGACUAGCAUUGUUCGGAAUAACCGGGCGUAAAGCGUACGGAGGCGGAUCAGAAAGUAUGGGGAGAAAACCCAGGGCUCAACCCUGGAACUGCCUCAUAAACUCCUGGUCUUGAGUUCGAGAGAGGUGAGUAGAAUUCCGAGUGUAGAGGUGAAAUUCGUAGAUAUUCGGAGGAACACCAGUGGCGAAGGCGGCUCACUGGCUCGAUACUGACGCUGAGGUACGAAAGUGUGGGGAGCAAACAGGAUUAGAUACCCUGGUAGUCCACACCGUAAACGAUGAAUGCCAGUCGUCGGGUAGCAUGCUAUUCGGUGACACACCUAACGGAUUCAGCAUUCCGCCUGGGGAGUACGGUCGCACGAUUAAAACUCAAAGGAAUUGCCGGGGGCCCGCAUAAGCGGUGGAGCAUAUGGUUUAAUUCGAAGCAACGCGUAGAACCUUACCAGCCCUUGACAUCCUAUGACAGUCGCUCCAGAGAUGGAGCUUUCAGCUAGGCUGGACGAGAUACAGGUGCUGCAUGGCUGUCGUCAGCUCGUGUCGUGAGAUGUUCGGUUAAGUCCCGCAACGAGCGCAACCCCUGCCUUUAGUUGCCAUCAUUAAGUUGGGCACUCUAGAGGGACUGCCGGUGAUAAAACCGGAGGAAGGUGGGGACGACGUCAAGUCAUCAUGGCCCUUAUGGGCUGGGCUACACACGUGCUACAAUGGCGGUGACAGAGGGUUGCCACUCCGCGAGGAGGCGCUAAUCCCUAAAAACCGUCUCAGUUCGGAUUGUUCUCUGCAACUCGAGAGCAUGAAGUUGGAAUCGCCAGUAAUCGUGGAUCAGCAUGCCACGGUGAAUACGUUCCCGGGCCUUGU